Molecule: ribosomal RNA, 132 nt
Filed under: Halolactibacillus alkaliphilus
Lineage: Bacteria; Bacillati; Bacillota; Bacilli; Caryophanales; Bacillaceae
Description: 23S rRNA. Bacterial LSU
Rfam family: Bacterial large subunit ribosomal RNA
Source: RNAcentral
GCCCCCCUCAAGAUGAGACUUCCCAUCUGUAAAGAGUAAGAUCCCUCAGAGACGAUGAGGUAGAUAGGUUCGAGGUGGAAGCAUGGUGACAUGUGUAGCUGACGAAUACUAAUCGAUCGAGGACUUAACUAA